RNAcentral lists this long non-coding RNA (355 nucleotides) under Homo sapiens (human). Its description in RNAcentral is "non-protein coding lnc-PREX1-8:1". Lineage: Eukaryota; Metazoa; Chordata; Mammalia; Primates; Hominidae. The record is from RNAcentral.
CUCCAGACGCACCGCCUUAAAAGCUGUAACACUCCCCGAGAGGGUCCGCGGCUUCAUUCUUGAAGUCAGUGAGACCAAGAACCCACCAAUUCCGGACACGAUAGUGCUGCCAAACCAGCCUGGAAAACGCGGCCUUCUGGACUUCUUGUACCGUGCGAAGAAGUGGCAAGUACAUGGCUGAGAGCAGGGGGUCUGGUGCAGGGUGACCUAAUCCAGUCCUGAUGAUGCCGAUUUCUACACAAGCAACCACCUUUCUGUGCCUCUGUGUUUUCAUCUGCAAAAUGGGGACGGUGAUGUAGUAGUGCCUGUUUUGGAGAGUACAUGAUUUAAUACACAUGGAGUAUGGGGAACAGCG